Molecule: ribosomal RNA, 492 nt
Filed under: uncultured bacterium
Lineage: Bacteria
Description: partial 16S ribosomal RNA
Rfam family: Bacterial small subunit ribosomal RNA
Source: RNAcentral
AGUGAACGCUGGCGGUAGGCCUAACACAUGCAAGUCGAACGGCAGCACAGUAAGAGCUUGCUCUUACGGGUGGCGAGUGGCGGACGGGUGAGGAAUACAUCGGAAUCUACUUUUUCGGGGGGGAUAACGUAGGGAAACUUACGCUAAUACCGCAUACGACCUACGGGUGAAAGCAGGGGAUCUUCGGACCUUGCGCGAUUGAAUGAGCCGAUGUCGGAUUAGCUAGUUGGCGGGGUAAAGGCCCACCAAGGCGACGAUCCGUAGCUGGUCUGAGAGGAUGAUCCGCCACACUGGAACUGAGACACGGUCCAGACUCCUACGGGAGGCAGCCGUGGGGAAUAUUGGACCAUGGGCGCAAGCCUGAUCCAGCCAUACCGCGUGGGUGAAGAAGGCCUUCGGGUUGUAAAGCCCUUUUGUUGGGAAAGAAAAGCAGCAGGUUAAUACCCCGCUGUUCUGACGGUACCCAAAGAAUAAGCACCGGCUAACUUCGUG